This 145-nucleotide ribosomal RNA is filed under the name uncultured bacterium. Its description in RNAcentral is "partial 16S ribosomal RNA". It matches the Rfam family "Bacterial small subunit ribosomal RNA", at positions 355 to 517 of the family's 1533-position model. The record is from RNAcentral.
UGGGGGAUAUUGCACAAUGGGGGAAACCCUGAUGCAGCGACGCCGCGUGGGUGAAGAAGCGCCUCGGCGCGUAAAGCCCUGUCAGCAGGGAAGAAAAUGACGGUACCUGAAGAAGAAGCCCCGGCUAACUACGUGCCAGCAGCCG